UCCGUAGGCGGCAGGGUCAGUCAGAGGUGAAAUCCCCCGGCUCAACCGAGGAAUUGCCUUUGAUACUGCCUUGCUCGAGGACUGGAGGGGAGAGCGGAAGUCUCGGUGUAACGGUGAAAUGUGCAGAUAUCGAGGCGAAGGCCGGUGGCGAAGGCGGCUCUCUGGACAGUAUCUGACGCUGAGGGACGAAAGCACGGGGAGCAAACAGGAUUAGAUACCCUGGUAGUCC
This 229-nucleotide ribosomal RNA is filed under the name uncultured bacterium. Its description in RNAcentral is "partial 16S ribosomal RNA". It matches the Rfam family "Bacterial small subunit ribosomal RNA", at positions 568 to 796 of the family's 1533-position model. The record is from RNAcentral.